This 1069-nucleotide ribosomal RNA is filed under the name Candidatus Marsarchaeota G1 archaeon OSP_B. RNAcentral's name for it is "bacterial SSU rRNA". It matches the Rfam family "Archaeal small subunit ribosomal RNA", at positions 1 to 1047 of the family's 1478-position model. Lineage: Archaea; Thermoproteati; Thermoproteota. The record is from RNAcentral.
CAGACCCGGUUGAUCCUGCCGGACCCGACUGCUAUCGGGAUGAUACUAAGCCAUGGGAGUCGUACGCCCUCGACCACGCGAGGGCGUGGCGUACGGCUCAGUAGCACAUGGUCAAUCUACCCUUGGGAGGAGGAUAACCCCGGGAAACUGGGGCUAAUACUUCAUAGAUGAGUAACCCUGGAAUUGGGUACUCAUCGAAAGGGUGCAGGGGCAUGUCCCUGUACCGCCUAAGGAUGAGACUGUGUUCCAUCAGGUAGUUGGCGAGGUAACGGCUCGCCAAGCCGAUAACGGAUGCGGGCAGUGAGAGCUGGAGCCCGGAGAUGGGCACUGAGACAAGGGCCCAGGCCCUACGGGGCGCACCAGGCGAGAAACCUUAGCAAUGCGGGAAACCGUGACUGGGCCAUCCCGAGUGCCAGCCGCUAAGGCUGGCUUUUCCCCAGAGUAAGCAUCUGGGGGAAUAAGCGGGGGGCAAGACUGGUGUCAGCCGCCGCGGUAAUACCAGCUCCGCGAGUGGUCGGGACGAUUAUUGAGCCUAAAGCGCUCGUAGCCGGCCCCGUAAGUCCCGUGUUAAAUCCAACGGCUUAACCGUUGGGCUGCAUGGGAUACUGCGGGGCUAGGGAGCGGAAGAGGCCAGGGGUACUCCCGGGGUAGGGGCGAAAUCCUAUAAUCCCGGGAGGACGACCAGUGGCGAAGGCGCCUGGCUAGGACGCGUCCGACGGUGAGGGGCGAAAGCUGGGGGAGCGAACCGGAUUAGAUACCCGGGUAGUCCCAGCCGUAAACGAUGCGGACUGGGUGUUGGCACGGCUUCGGGCCGUGCCAGUGCCUCAGGGAAGCCGUUAAGUCCGCCGCUUGGGGAGUACGGUCGCAAGACUGAAACUUAAAGGAAUUGGCGGGGGAGCACCACAAGGGGUGAAGCCUGCGGCUCAAUUGGAGUCAACUCCGGGAACCUUACCAGGUGCGACAGCAGGAUGAAGGCCAAGCUGAUGACUUUGCCUGACGCGCUGAGAGGUGGCGCAUGGCCGUCGCCAGCUCGUGCCGUGAGGUGUCUGGUUAAGUCCAGGAACGAGCG